RNAcentral lists this ribosomal RNA (301 nucleotides) under uncultured bacterium. RNAcentral describes it as "partial 16S ribosomal RNA". It matches the Rfam family "Bacterial small subunit ribosomal RNA", at positions 509 to 807 of the family's 1533-position model. The record is from RNAcentral.
CAGUCGCCACGGGAAUACGUAGGUGGCAAGCGUUGUCCGGAAUUAUUGGGCGUAAAGGGCUCGCAGGCGGUUUCUUAAGUCUGAUGUGAAAGCCCCCGGCUCAACCGGGGAGGGUCAUUGGAAACUGGGAAACUUGAGUGCAGAAGAGGAGAGUGGAAUUCCACGUGUAGCGGUGAAAUGCGUAGAGAUGUGGAGGAACACCAGCGGCGAAGGCGACUCUCUGGUCUGUAACUGACGCUGAGGAGCGAAAGCGUGGGGAGCGAACAGGAUUAGAUACCCCUGUAGUCCCUGUCUCUUAUAC